Molecule: ribosomal RNA, 466 nt
Filed under: uncultured bacterium
Lineage: Bacteria
Description: partial 16S ribosomal RNA
Rfam family: Bacterial small subunit ribosomal RNA
Source: RNAcentral
GAUGAACGCUGGCGGCGUGCUUAACACAUGCAAGUCGAACGGAAAGGCUCCUGCUUGCCGGGGUACUCGAGUGGCGAACGGGUGAGUAACACGUGGGUGUUCUGCCCUGCACUUCGGGAUAAGCCUGGGAAACUGGGUCUAAUACCGGAUAGGACGAUGGUUUGGAUGCCAUUGUGGAAAGUUUUUUCGGUGUGGGAUGGGCUCGCGGCCUAUCCGCUUGUUGGUGGGGUAAUGGCCUACCAAGGCGUCGACGGGUAGCCGGCCUGAGAGGGUGGACGGCCACAUUGGGACUGAGAGACGGCCCAGACGCGUACGGGAGGCAGCAGGGGGGAAUAUUGCACAAUGGGCGCAAGCCUGAUGCAGCGACGCCGCGUGGGGGAUGACGGCCUUCGGGUUGUAAACUCCUGUCGCUAGGGACGAAGCGCAAGUGACGGUACCUGGAGAAGAAGCACCGGCUAACUACGUG